CUGGCAGGAGAUGAAUGAUGCGGGGUUCUGAGCUUCCCAGAACAAAACCUACAUUAAUUUUGAGCCAAUCAAAAUAGAACAGGAAACGAUUUACUAUGGGUGCCUCAACUACUGCAGCUGAAUCAUGGGAAAUCCAUUCCCCAGAAUGGAAUCCGGUCCUCAUGUGUUUGUCAUCUCUCCCAUGGAAACACGCCAUGCGCAAAGUCGGAAGCAAAAAGCAGGGCCAGAAAAAGCUUGGCUCCUCUGACUUUCACAACCUUUCCCGGACACAUAUGAAGAAAUCUGGAAUAAAGAUCUCCAGGAGAAACCUUGCUUAAACAUCUUAAUGACAACCUAUUCCCUAUGAAAUUCAAUGCCUCCACAAUCUGACUCCAGCCAAGUUUUCAAUAAUCUACUAUAAAUGUUUGACUGCUUGCCAAAUACUAUAGAUUACAGUAUGCAAACAUA
Long non-coding RNA from Felis catus (domestic cat), 447 nucleotides. RefSeq lists it as uncharacterized. The record is from RefSeq and is a predicted model, not a curated record. The transcript is spliced from 2 exons. Lineage: Eukaryota; Metazoa; Chordata; Mammalia; Carnivora; Felidae.